GGGAACGGGGAGGCGUCUGCCCAUCCCCGGCCGCGCCAGCCCCGCUUCUUCUCCUCAAAACUUAGAGAUCCGGUUCAGAGGCGCGCGGUGAGCCCCUCCGCCUCAGCCGCUCGCCCCCCUUGCCUUAAACCUCGAAAUGUGUAACUCCUCGUUUACCACGUGGAGCACAGAUUCACCUUCAGAACAUCUAACUUUCUUCCCGCAAUUCACCUGGUCUUCUCUAGCAUCAUACAGGAUGCAGUCUUGGGACGAUGCAAAGAGCAAUCCCACCUGAAGAAACACUAACAAGAAAACACCAGACUGACUUAAAGACAUACUGAGGGAUUUCCACUGGAACCAGCAAGACUGGAAGCCUGCAGCAUCGUUGAAAACAGGCCCUUGGCCUUUACAUGAGAACAAACGCAAGUAGUGUUGACAGCUACCUCGUUAUUUGUUCAAAGGACCUGAACCACCAAUGCCCAGGGAUUAGUAUGAACAUGGCAAUGACAUAUGAGACUGCCCCCACGUACUUUCCUAGUUGCUGAUUACUUUCAGAAUCAGAAAUGCCAGAAGGAAGAAGAAAAAAAAAGUUUAAGGAUCUGAGUUACCAAGGCAUCGCUGAAGUUCACAAAAUCUAAACAAGGAACUACAUGAGUAACCACACAAGCUAGACUGAAUACUGUACGCUCCUGAAUUAAACUUAAUGACCUAUCCUUAUGCCUGAACAAUCCCUUCAGACUCCAGGAGAAAGGUAAUGAAGAAAAAGGCUUGGAUUCUAUCGGGAGGUAUCUGUAGCUGAAAACAGAUGUGAAAGGAAAAAGAGUGGAAUGACUUUAAAGGACCACCCCGAGCCUUGAAAAGGUGUCAGAGAUAACAUCCGUUUAUUUUAAUAUUUUCUAGUCUUUCCAGUAUGCAUUUGUGUUGUUCUCUCCUGGGGUGUGACAUCCUCCAAGUUUUAUGAUCUGAUCCACUUUAUGGCUGUUUAUUCCUAACAUAAAUCCUGCAGAAAUAAUUUCACAAAUUUCCUUCCAGUUGUAGUUUUAGUAACAUUUAUAAUUAUCUGUCAAUAAUGCUGUAUUUUUCAGCAAUAUCAAUUUGAAUGUGCUGAGUUAUCUUUCCACUGUGAUUUCUCUACUGCUAUUUCUAUUACAGUAAUUUCAUGGACUAGAGCCUUGUAGAGAGAUAAUUUGGAAUCUAUAUAAAAUUUAUUACGUGUUCCUAUCAAGCCAUAGGCUGUAGCACUGCUUGUGGUAUAUGCUACAUUGUAUAUUGAUAAAUGUAUAUUUUACAUUUAUCCUGAUAGCUUUAUUUCUGCUAUUGUUAUUCAAAUUAUAUAAACUUCCAUACACGCUACACAAAUUCUACUUCCAUAGAGUGCAUUCUCAAUUAUUUCACUAGUUAUGUGCCUCUUAUUUUUUCUCUGGCAACGCUAACAUAAGUGGAACCAUAAAGAUUUGUAGAAAUUAUGAAGUCUUUCCUUAUUCUUGCUAUUCAGUUAAUAUGCUAUCCAUUUUCAGACAGCCCACUGUAAAACUUUUUAUGGCAACGCUUAGUAGACUACUUUCCCAGUCAUUUAGAUCAUAGUGACAAAAAAAUCCCACAAAAAACAAACAACCCAGCUCAGCAAUUAAAGCAAGGGGAAAUACUUUUUGUGUCCACACACAAUAUUGCCAAAAUUAGUGUUGCUUACCCAGUGUAUUUUUAACAUUCAGCCAAAGGAUAAAAGAACUGAAUGUUCUUUUAUUCUCCAUCUGAACAGUACCACUAUUCAAAGGAAUCAUUUCCCCUCCUCAGCUUUGUAGCUUUUUUAGAAAAAUAUACCAGCAUUUUAUCCAACUUUGUCUAACACUGCUUUUUCACUUGUGAUAAAUUUGUUCCUUAUUUUUGUGAACUAUACUCAUGUAAUUUCUUGAAAUCAUAAACUAAUCAACUCUUGAAAUCA
This is a long non-coding RNA of Pygoscelis adeliae (Adelie penguin), 1921 nucleotides long. RefSeq lists it as uncharacterized. The record is from RefSeq and is a predicted model, not a curated record. The transcript has 4 exons. NCBI's taxonomy places the organism in Eukaryota, Metazoa, Chordata, Aves, Sphenisciformes, Spheniscidae.